Molecule: non-coding RNA, 96 nt
Filed under: Schleiferilactobacillus perolens
Lineage: Bacteria; Bacillati; Bacillota; Bacilli; Lactobacillales; Lactobacillaceae
Also listed under: 1 other name
Description: Lactobacillus perolens THF-I sequence
Rfam family: THF (Tetrahydrofolate) riboswitch aptamer
About the family: THF riboswitch presents a pseudoknot that joins P1-P2 and the loop of P3 and two THF binding.
Source: RNAcentral
UACGGAGUAGGUCCCGAUGCGUUAAGUGCCGCAGGAACGGAAUGUGAACUGCGGACGAAGAGUUUAACUCGCGGUGUCGGGACCGCAUUCGCCGCA